Molecule: long non-coding RNA, 99 nt
Organism: Lontra canadensis (Northern American river otter)
Lineage: Eukaryota; Metazoa; Chordata; Mammalia; Carnivora; Mustelidae
Exons: 3
Source: RefSeq, a predicted model, not a curated record
UGAGGAAGAAAAAAAAUACAAACUGGAUGUUUGCAGCAAGACAUGUAGCUUAAUAAUUAGGACUGAAUUAUACAGUGCAUUCCAUAUUCUACUAUGGAA